AGUACUACAUAGACAAAGCUUGAGUUUCUGUAUUUACUUUUUGAAAUUGUGUUUUAUGUUUCCCAAGGUGAUCCUCAGAUUUUAUGGUUAAGGAUGUCCUUGAACUUCUGAAGGCUGGGAUUAUAGGUUUUUUUUUUUUUUUUUGUUUUUUUUUUGGUCUCUGGCUGCUUUGUUUUGUUCUGGGUCUUGAACUUAGGGCUUUUUGCAUGUUCUAUACACUGAACUACAUCUCUUUUCCCUCCCUCCCUCCCUUCCAAGUUUAAAUAAACCACAUACACUUAGUUACUUAUUUGUAUAUUUACUUAUUUUGUUGUGUAUGUAUUUGUGUGUAUGUGAGGGCAUAUUCGGGGAGUUCAGGGGACAACCUGUGGGAAUUGUUUCUCUUCUACUUGGUGAGUUUGGGAAUUGAACUCAGGUAGUCGUGUUUGAAAAUAGGCAUUUGUACCCAUUGACCUAUCCUGCCAACCUCUGAUUUCUUUAUUUUUUUCUAAUAUGGUGUCUGAUAUUGGCCAAUUCCUUUUCUUUGCUUUCUCUGAUUGUAUGACAAAUCAUGAAAGACUAUUUCAGAUAAUGAAUGUGCUGAAGAAACAGUUUCUCCCACUUCAGCUUUCUGAGUGCUAAGAUUACGAACAAAGCUACUACUCCAGGAUUCAAACAGGAUAUUGGUUUGUUUGUUUGUUUUUACACCAUUUGAUCUUCUGUAUUACCCAAGGAUUCCCUACUGGAUGGAGAAUGCAGUUAUUGGCUGUUCCAAUGGCAUACUUUAGUCAUAACUCUGAGAGAAUCCACUGAUAACUAAUAAUUUGUCUAUUAGAAAGCCAUCCGAGGUUAGAAACACUAGUUUUAUUGUCUUAUACUACUCUUCUCUCCUCUUCUCUUCUCUCUUCCUUCCUUUCUGAGACAGGGUUUCUGUGCACAGCUUUGGCUGAGCUGGAACUCACUCUGUAGAUGAGCUUGCUUUGCAGUCACUGAGAUCUGCCGGGCUCUGCCUCCUGAUCAGAGGCAUGUUGCCCCCAUGCUUAGGCAGUUGAAACUAGUAGGAGCUCAUUUGUUUUGUAACUUGUGAUCCCGGUUUAUAGUAAUGUUCUACCACACAUGUUAAUUGAGCAGUGUGGUUUCCAGACUGGUUUCAUCCUGGACUUCUGUAUUACAAGAGGCAUGGGUAUGAAAUGUAAAGUAUUUAAAAAUGAUAUUAAUUUGGGCUGGAGAAUUUGUUGAGUAGUUAAGUUUGUUGCUUUUGUUAGAGGGUCUGAGUUGGAUUCCCAGCAUGCACAUGGUGGUUCACAACUAUUCCAGAGGAUCUGUCUGUCUUUUCACCUCUUAGGGCACCAGGCACACAUACAUGCAUUCAAGCAAAACACUUGUAUACUAUAAUAAAAUCUGAAAACAAAACAAAACCCUAUACUGAAUUCUGAAAAAAAGCAUAAAUAUUGUAUGUGUUUGGGCACACAUGUGGAAGUCAGAGGACACGCUUUAGGAGUUGGUUCUCUCCUUCCACUUUGUGGGUCUCAGGAAUUGAACUCACUUGUCAAGCUUAGUGACAAGUGCCUUUACCUGCCAUCUUACUGGCCUAGAAGUUCUUUAAAGCUUUUAGAUCAGGUAGUUGCUAUAUAUCACAGGAUGAGAAAAUACCAAAUAAAGACGAUGUUAAAAUUUUGGGAAUUGGCCAGGGAGAUGGUUUAGUGGGUAAAGCACUUAGGUAUUGUGAGAAGUUUGCCUUGGGUGGAGAAGACAGCUUCUAUCCCCCUCUUCUCCCAAAGUUCUAGUGACAAACUGCAAAGUUCAGUCCCACAGUAGUUCACACUGAUGAACCAAUGAGUUGGUUAAGGUUACUUACAGCCUAAAGCAGCCACAUUGCAAAGUCUGGGCUUAGCAUGAAUGAUGGCUUCCGUAAGGCCCCUUCCCUAGAAGCAAUCAUCAGUUACAGCAGCAUUGCACACAGAUGACUGGGAGGAGUGGCUUGGUACUUAGGUGAGGGUCCAGUGACCCUCCCUACCCUCUUUCUGUGAGGGAAUAUUAGCAGUCAGCGAGCCCAGUUGUAAUAAAUUUUAGCAGGUGGAAUGAGUGAUGGCUCUUUGGUUCAGAGGACAGUGCUUAUACAACACCAUACAAACCUUACUACCUCAAUUUGAUCCUCAGACCCCGUCUCUACUCCAAGCCUUUUUACACUGAGAUGGGAGGCAGAGACAGGAGAAUCAGCCAGAAAUAGAAACAAUCCCUGUCUUACAGUGGAAGGAGAGAACCGACUUCUGGAAAGUUCUGUGAUUGAGGAGGGUGUGUGUGUCACACACAUGCUGUGGCACAAGAGAAUAACU
RNAcentral lists this long non-coding RNA (2315 nucleotides) under Mus musculus (house mouse). RNAcentral's name for it is "long non-coding RNA chr2:131265948-131268263". The record is from RNAcentral. Lineage: Eukaryota; Metazoa; Chordata; Mammalia; Rodentia; Muridae.